Molecule: ribosomal RNA, 660 nt
Filed under: Clostridioides difficile
Lineage: Bacteria; Bacillati; Bacillota; Clostridia; Peptostreptococcales; Peptostreptococcaceae
Description: bacterial SSU rRNA
Rfam family: Bacterial small subunit ribosomal RNA
Source: RNAcentral
ACACGGAUAACAUACCGAAAGGUAUGCUAAUACGGGAUAAUAUAUUUGAGAGGCAUCUCUUGAAUAUCAAAGGUGAGCCAGUACAGGAUGGACCCGCGUCUGAUUAGCUAGUUGGUAAGGUAACGGCUUACCAAGGCGACGAUCAGUAGCCGACCUGAGAGGGUGAUCGGCCACAUUGGAACUGAGACACGGUCCAAACUCCUACGGGAGGCAGCAGUGGGGAAUAUUGCACAAUGGGCGAAAGCCUGAUGCAGCAACGCCGCGUGAGUGAUGAAGGCCUUCGGGUCGUAAAACUCUGUCCUCAAGGAAGAUAAUGACGGUACUUGAGGAGGAAGCCCCGGCUAACUACGUGCCAGCAGCCGCGGUAAUACGUAGGGGGCUAGCGUUAUCCGGAUUUACUGGGCGUAAAGGGUGCGUAGGCGGUCUUUCAAGUCAGGAGUGAAAGGCUACGGCUCAACCGUAGUAAGCUCUUGAAACUGGGAGACUUGAGUGCAGGAGAGGAGAGUGGAAUUCCUAGUGUAGCGGUGAAAUGCGUAGAUAUUAGGAGGAACACCAGUUGCGAAGGCGGCUCUCUGGACUGUAACUGACGCUGAGGCACGAAAGCGUGGGGAGCAAACAGGAUUAGAUACCCUGGUAGUCCACGCUGUAAACGAUGAGUAC